GAGAGUUUGAUCCUGGCUCAGAACGAACGCGGGCGGCAUGCCUAACACAUGCAAGUCGAACGAAGGCUUCGGCCUUAGUGGCGCACGGGUGCGUAACGCGUGGGAAUCUGCCCUUUGGUUCGGAAUAACAGCUGGAAACGGCUGCUAAUACCGGAUGAUGACGAAAGUCCAAAGAUUUAUCGCCUGAGGAUGAGCCCGCGUUGGAUUAGGUAUUUGGUGGGGUAAAGGCCUACCAAGCCGACAAUCCAUAUCUGGUCUGAGAGGA
Molecule: ribosomal RNA, 265 nt
Filed under: uncultured Sphingomonas sp.
Lineage: Bacteria; Pseudomonadati; Pseudomonadota; Alphaproteobacteria; Sphingomonadales; Sphingomonadaceae
Description: partial 16S ribosomal RNA
Rfam family: Bacterial small subunit ribosomal RNA
Source: RNAcentral